UUUGACCUCAAAUCAGGUAGGACUAC
Molecule: ribosomal RNA, 26 nt
Filed under: Candida albicans
Lineage: Eukaryota; Fungi; Ascomycota; Pichiomycetes; Serinales; Debaryomycetaceae
Also listed under: 2 other names
Description: partial 28S ribosomal RNA
Source: RNAcentral